GCCAUACCUGUGAAUCCACUGUUUUCCAUAGGUACUUUUGUAACAAAGACAGUCAAGUAGGAAAAGAGAGGAAGGGUCUGACCAAGAGGGACAUGUAUAAGAGACCCUGGAAUUGAGCCAAUCAAAUGACUGAAAUAUUUGGGUUCUUCUUAGAAGUAGGAAGAUAAAAAAACAACAUCAGAAAAAGAAAAGAGACUUCUAAUGGAAAACAAGCAGGAUCCACUCACAGCCUCAACCCGUGCUGUACGAGAAGCCUUGGGUUUUGCCAUCUGCUUUCAAGUCCAGGAGUUAGCGAUGAUGAUUAACGUCAGUGUCAGCUUGCCUGCAUACAGAAUGCUUCAUUGAGUUUCCCCAGGUGCACAGCAAACAUGACAUUUUGCAGCAAGCAUAGCACUCCUCAAGUGGUGUGAAAAUCCAGAGACACAUUGCCUGCCACUGUGUGCAUAUCUAGUCUUCAGGCUGGAAAGACCCUAAAGAACUCGUGGAACUUGGAUCCUGGACAUUUGAAUGCGUAGGGUCAGUUUACUCAUAUUUUUUACAAAACAAAUGCAUUUCAAAAAAUGACCUUUCCUAAGAUGAGACUAGUUCUUACAACAAAUAAGCUAAAAGAUAUAAGAUUCCUUUCCUUCAAACAGUUCCUAGGACAGUUUAUCAUUCCUCCUUUGUAAGAUUCUGGAAAGUGGCAUAGUCUAUUAUUCCCCAAAGCUGGAUGGACACUGAAAAUUCCCAAGUCUAUGGCUUCAAACUAGCCUCUGAGCACUGUCAAAGUGGAGAUAAUAAUACCUUAUCAUGUAGUUGAAAGAGUUAUAAGAAGUUACAUAUGUAAAGGAUCUUUAUGUAAAUUGAUCAUCAUUGAUCAUUGCUACUUAAAUAUGAGGCAGUUCUAACACAGACUUCAUAAUCAGUAUUGUUAGUUUGUUAUCUGCAUUUGUGGAGAAUAUAGAAAGAAUAUAGAAUAUAGAAGAAUGUAGAAGGAAUAUCAAUAAUUUUUGCCUUACAGAAUGGGAAGAUAAAGCUCACAAAUAUUCCAGAACGAUUUCACACAUUAGUGGUUUUGAAGGUACUAUACAGCGGCCUGAGUGUUUUUCAGCCACAUGCAUUUGCUUAUUAUGCCAUCAAUUCCAUAAUUUUCAAAUGUACACCCCAUAAAAAUAAUUAUUAAGAACCCUAGUUUAUCUAUUACUAUUUAAAUAAUUGGUCCAUUUUAAAAGCCAUGGUUUUAAAUCAUGGGCCUGGAAGGAAGAGUACUUAAUGUUCUCCUUUUGGAAAGGAUACAACCUGCAAAACAAUUUUUAAAAAUAUAUUGGAUCAGUCUGGCUUGUUGCCUCUGUAAAAUCCAAAGCAUCCAUUACCUACGAACAGGACAAGUAGUGCCUUAAUUGCUAUGCUGCCAAAAUGUCGGUGGUGAGUACAGGGACACUGACCGACUGAACAGAACUGGGAUACAAAGCAAUGAACUUAACCAUCCCAUGACAAUUAAUUAAAUUUUUCCUAUUAUCUGGUGGUGGAAUGCCAAAUAUGAAAACAAAGAACCAACCAGACUCCAUCAACCAUAAAGCAGUCCCAUGACAACUCAACACUUACAGAAUUGACUCAACUCUACAGACAUAUUUCUAAUUUAAUAAUAAGUCAGAACUGAAUGAGCCAGGCUUCCUGCUUCCUUCAUGUUACCUCUGGGUGUGAGGAACAGAGGGUAGACAGAGAGGAUUGGAGAGAAGAGUUAAGAAGAGAAACUGGAAAGUCCAGAUUAACGCAGGCUCUACAUUUCAGAAUAUUGAUGUGGUCAGAGCCAAGGGUCCUGCAGUAGCCAUGACUACUCUAUUGACCAGCUCCUGCCCACAGACAUCAUGUGAUUAGACAUCUCGACACCACAGUGCAACAUCCUUUACCAUUAUCCUCUAAGUGAGUUUCACUCCAUCACCACCACAACCCACACCCCAUACUAAGCAGGGGGCAGUAAUAAAAAAUGGGGGGAAUUAA
Microcebus murinus (gray mouse lemur) is the source of this 1980-nucleotide non-coding RNA. Lineage: Eukaryota; Metazoa; Chordata; Mammalia; Primates; Cheirogaleidae. The record is from RefSeq and is a predicted model, not a curated record.